RNAcentral lists this ribosomal RNA (551 nucleotides) under Ricordea florida. RNAcentral describes it as "eukaryotic LSU rRNA". The stretch from base 124 to 277 matches the Rfam family "5.8S ribosomal RNA". The record is from RNAcentral. Lineage: Eukaryota; Metazoa; Cnidaria; Anthozoa; Corallimorpharia; Ricordeidae.
UGCGCCCCUCGGUUUCGCGGCCCAAGUCUCUUGCCGUCUGCCGGCCCCUUUAGCGUUACCGCAAAGCACGUAUUUGUUGCCGUAUUUACUGAGCUAGUGCCUUUGAAAAGAAAAAGAGANGACAACUUUUGACGGUGGAUCUCUUGGCUCGCGCAUCGAUGAAGAACGCAGCCAGCUGCGAUAAGUAGUGUGAAUUGCAGAAUUCAGUGAAUUAUCGAAUCUUUGAACGCAAAUGGCGCUCUUGGGUUCUCCCAGGAGCAUGUCUGUCUGAGUGUCGGAUUGUACNCCAUCGCGGUUGGACCGUUUCCACGGCAGCCGCGGCGUUGAGGCGACACGACGCGUUCCCAGGUUGGUCGUGUCUCUCGAAACCGAGCGUAGCCCCGUUGCCGCAGCGGUCGCGUCCGACUCUGUCCGCCAAAAAGGGGAGGCUUAAGGCUGACCUUUCCCUGGACGGAGGAGGUCCGACGUGGCGAGGGACGGAGGCCAACGAGAGAGAAAGAGAAAGAGAGCAAAGGCAGUGAAAAGGCAUCUUGACCUCAGAUCAGGCAAGG